GCUAAGGCCCCUAAAUGACAGCUCAGUGGUAAAGGAUGUAGGGGUGCAGAGAUAGCUAGGAGGUUUGCCUAGAAGCAACCAUCUUUGAAAGAGUGUGUAAUAGCUCAUUGACCGAGCGCUCUUAAGUCGAAGAUGAACGGGGUUAAGCGAUCUGCUAGC
Molecule: non-coding RNA, 159 nt
Filed under: Lupinus angustifolius (narrow-leaved blue lupine)
Lineage: Eukaryota; Viridiplantae; Streptophyta; Magnoliopsida; Fabales; Fabaceae
Description: Bacterial large subunit ribosomal RNA
Rfam family: Bacterial large subunit ribosomal RNA
Source: Rfam by way of RNAcentral